RNAcentral lists this ribosomal RNA (303 nucleotides) under uncultured bacterium. Its description in RNAcentral is "bacterial SSU rRNA". It matches the Rfam family "Bacterial small subunit ribosomal RNA", at positions 355 to 675 of the family's 1533-position model. The record is from RNAcentral.
UGGGGAAUAUUGCACAAUGGGGGAAACCCUGAUGCAGCGACGCCGCGUGAGCGAAGAAGUAUUUCGGUAUGUAAAGCUCUAUCAGCAGGGAAGAAAUUGACGGUACCUGAGUAAGAAGCUCCGGCUAAAUACGUGCCAGCAGCCGCGGUAAUACGUAUGGAGCAAGCGUUAUCCGGAUUUACUGGGUGUAAAGGGAGCGUAGGCGGCCUGCCAAGUCUGAUGUGAAAUACCGGGGCUCAACCCCGGGGCUGCAUUGGAAACUGGCAGGCUGGAGUGUCGGAGAGGCAGGCGGAAUUCCUAGUG